RNAcentral lists this ribosomal RNA (308 nucleotides) under Oxyrrhis marina. RNAcentral's name for it is "partial Bacterial small subunit ribosomal RNA". It matches the Rfam family "Bacterial small subunit ribosomal RNA", at positions 516 to 823 of the family's 1533-position model. The record is from RNAcentral. Lineage: Eukaryota; Dinophyceae; Oxyrrhinales; Oxyrrhinaceae.
CGCGGUAAUACGGAGGGUGCGAGCGUUAAUCGGAAUUACUGGGCGUAAAGCGCGCGUAGGUGGUUUGAUAAGCGAGAUGUGAAAGCCCCGGGCUUAACCUGGGAACGGCAUUUCGAACUGUCAGGCUAGAGUGUGGUAGAGGGUAGUGGAAUUUCCUGUGUAGCGGUGAAAUGCGUAGAUAUAGGAAGGAACACCGGUGGCGAAGGCGGCUACCUGGACCAAUACUGACACUGAGGUGCGAAAGCGUGGGGAGCGAACAGGAUUAGAUACCCUGGUAGUCCACGCCGUAAACGAUGAGUGCUAAGUGU